Caenorhabditis elegans is the source of this 177-nucleotide non-coding RNA. The record is from Ensembl. NCBI's taxonomy places the organism in Eukaryota, Metazoa, Nematoda, Chromadorea, Rhabditida, Rhabditidae.
UUUACAGUCUCGCAAGAUGCUCGUCCUUCCCACCGCUGCCGCUCUGGCUUGCCCGAAUGAACUUUUCCUCUUUUUUUGCAUGUGCGGUCUGUUCGUUUGUUCAACUCAUUGUCAUCUCUAUUUCCUUUUUCUGUUUUUGGAAGCUCAAUUCGCGCAAAAGUGCUCUUUCCGCUAAAA